Hyla sarda is the source of this 280-nucleotide long non-coding RNA. RefSeq lists it as uncharacterized. The transcript has 4 exons. NCBI's taxonomy places the organism in Eukaryota, Metazoa, Chordata, Amphibia, Anura, Hylidae. The record is from RefSeq and is a predicted model, not a curated record.
CCCCUUAUGUGGUAAAGGGCGUCCACCCAUGUCAAGACAUCAUAAAGUGGAGUGUUCGUUAAUUUGCUAAUACCAAGAGACGUGCAAGCUUGCCAACAGAUUCUACCUCAGGGUCUUCAAUCAUUAAGACGAAAAGUGUAACAAACUGACCACUCUCCGCAACGCCGGCCACCGGGCUCCCUCCCCCAGAGUAAACACCGGCCCCGAUGCUGUCACAUCCUGCCUGAACAUUUGCAAGUAAAUUAGUAGAUCAGUGAUCUCCAGGAGGAUUCAAGCGGGC